UACAGAGGGGGCAAGCGUUGUCCGGAAUUACUGGGCGUACAGCGCGCGCAGGCGGUUGCCGACGUGCCGUGUGACAAACGGGGGCUCAACCCCCGAGGGCCACGGUAAACGGGGCGACUGGAGGUAGGGAGAGGGAUGUGGAAUGCCCGGUGGAGCGGUGAAAUGCGUAGAGAUCGGGAGGAACACCAGAGGCGAAGGCGGCGACCUGGACAGGUACUGACACUCAACUACGAAAGCGUGGGGAGCAAACAGG
This 253-nucleotide ribosomal RNA is filed under the name uncultured bacterium. RNAcentral's name for it is "partial 16S ribosomal RNA". It matches the Rfam family "Bacterial small subunit ribosomal RNA", at positions 524 to 776 of the family's 1533-position model. The record is from RNAcentral.